GCUUGUCUCAAAGAUUAAGCCAUGCAUGUCUAAGUGUAAAUACGUCUACACUGUGAAACUGCGAAUGGCUCAUUAAAUCAGUUAUAGUUUCUUUGAUAGUCCCUUACUACUUGGAUACCCGUAGUAAUUCUAGAGCUAAUACAUGCAUCAACACCCGACUGUUCGCGGAAGGGUAGUAUUUAUUAGGUAUAGACCAACCCUCUUUUGGAGGUGCUUUGGUGAUUCAUAAUAACUUUUCGAAUCGCAUGGCCUUGUGCCGGCGAUGGAUCAUUCAAGUUUCUGCCCUAUCAGCU
RNAcentral lists this ribosomal RNA (293 nucleotides) under uncultured fungus. Its description in RNAcentral is "partial small subunit ribosomal RNA". It matches the Rfam family "Eukaryotic small subunit ribosomal RNA", at positions 30 to 320 of the family's 1831-position model. The record is from RNAcentral. Lineage: Eukaryota; Fungi.